This 464-nucleotide ribosomal RNA is filed under the name uncultured bacterium. Its description in RNAcentral is "bacterial SSU rRNA". It matches the Rfam family "Bacterial small subunit ribosomal RNA", at positions 330 to 792 of the family's 1533-position model. The record is from RNAcentral.
UCCAGACUCCUACGGGAGGCAGCAGUGAGGAAUAUUGGUCAAUGGCCGCAGGGCUGAACCAGCCAAGUCGCGUGAGGGAUGACGGUCCUAUGGAUUGUAAACCUCUUUUGUCAGGGAGCAAAGGGCGCCACGUGUGGCGUUUUGCGAGUACCUGAAGAAAAAGCAUCGGCUAACUCCGUGCCAGCAGCCGCGGUAAUACGGAGGAUGCGAGCGUUAUCCGGAUUUAUUGGGUUUAAAGGGUGCGCAGGCGGCGAGUUAAGUCAGCGGUAAAAUUGCGGGGCUCAACCCCGACAAGCCGUUGAAACUGGCUUGCUAGAGUGGGCGAGAAGUAUGCGGAAUGCGUGGUGUAGCGGUGAAAUGCAUAGAUAUCGCGCAGAACUCCGAUUGCGAAGGCAGCAUGCCGGCUCCACACUGACGCUGAGGCACGAAAGCGUGGGUAUCGAACAGGAUUAGAUACCCUUGUA